GUAAUGCCGGAUGCUCCAGUUGAUCGCAUGGUCUUCUGGGAAAGCUUUCGCGGUAUGGGAUGGGGUCGCGUCCUAUCAGCUUGACGGCGGGGUAACGGCCCACCGUGGCUUCGACGGGUAGCCGGCCUGAGAGGGCGACCGGCCACAUUGGGACUGAGAUACGGCCCAGACUCCUACGGGAGGCAGCAGUGGGGAAUAUUGCACAAUGGGCGCAAGCCUGAUGCAGCGACGCCGCGUGAGGGAUGGAGGCCUUCGGGUUGUAAACCUCUUUUAUCGGGGAGCAAGCGAGAGUGAGUUUACCCGUUGAAUAAGCACCGGCUAACUACGUGCCAGCAGCCGCGGUAAUACGUAGGGUGCAAGCGUUAUCCGGAAUUAUUGGGCGUAAAGGGCUCGUAGGCGGUUCGUCGCGUCCGGUGUGAAAGUCCAUCGCUUAACGGUGGAUCCGCGCCGGGUACGGGCGGGCUUGAGUGCGGUAGGGGAGACUGGAAUUCCCGGUGUAACGGUGGAAUGUGUAGAUAUCGGAAAGAAAC
This 530-nucleotide ribosomal RNA is filed under the name Bifidobacterium longum subsp. suillum. RNAcentral describes it as "bacterial SSU rRNA". It matches the Rfam family "Bacterial small subunit ribosomal RNA", at positions 163 to 707 of the family's 1533-position model. The record is from RNAcentral. Lineage: Bacteria; Bacillati; Actinomycetota; Actinomycetes; Bifidobacteriales; Bifidobacteriaceae.